AAGACGGGGGGGGGGGAAAAAAAAAAAAAAAGACUUUUCUCGAUUCCAUGGAUGGUGGUGCAUGGUCGCACUUAGUUGGUGCAGUGAUUUGUCAGGGUUUAUUCCGGUAACGAACGAGACCUCGGCCUUGUAAAUAGCUAUGCUGCUUACAGGGACAUUGGCGGCUACGCCAAGGAAGCUCGAGGCAAUUGCAGAUCUGGAAUGCCCUUAGAUGUCCUGGGUCGCACGCGUGCUACAAUGACGCCACGAACGAGCUUGCGUGAUGAAAGUUACGCAUAAUCAGCAGUCGGCGUCUUAAGGGAUAGUCUCUUGUAACUGUGGCCUUCCAACUAGGAAUGUCUCGUAAGCACAAGUCAACAUCUUGUGUUGAUUACUCCCUGCUUUUUGUCACACCGCCCGUCGCUCCUCCGAUGGUGUUCCCCCUGAAUUGAUGGACGUAAGGAAGUCAAAUAAACCCUGAGCCACAAGAGAAGGGAGCAGCGGAGGCCCUUGGGAAACUA
RNAcentral lists this ribosomal RNA (500 nucleotides) under uncultured Myrionecta. RNAcentral describes it as "partial 18S ribosomal RNA". It matches the Rfam family "Eukaryotic small subunit ribosomal RNA", at positions 1225 to 1775 of the family's 1831-position model. The record is from RNAcentral. Lineage: Eukaryota; Ciliophora; Litostomatea; Cyclotrichida; Mesodiniidae.